This 1241-nucleotide long non-coding RNA is filed under the name Aotus nancymaae (Ma's night monkey). RNAcentral's name for it is "lncRNA (ENSANAG00000038655.1)". Lineage: Eukaryota; Metazoa; Chordata; Mammalia; Primates; Aotidae. The record is from RNAcentral.
CAGCCACAGAACAGACACUUUCCCGGCUAUGCAGGGCUGGGCGUUGGGGUGGGGGGCUCACCUGGACCCUCCAAGGCAUCAGACUGUCCAACUGCUCAGUUUUCACAGGGACAAGAGCCUUGCUGAGGGUGAAGGGGGCUGCGAGUGCCCAGCAGGGCAGCCUGGGCAGGUUCUGCCUCCCACAGCUGUCCCACUCUCCGGAGCUGCCUCGGUGGCAGAUGGCGCUGUCCUGAAAGGGACCACAGUCUUCUCUUCCAUAUCAACUGGAGGCCAGGGAGCUGCUGGACCCCUAGGAGCCAGGUCCAACGGAUAGGGCUUCCUGGCUGCAGAGUUGCGGGGACUCAGAGGGGAAUGCUGACCAUAGAGGUGGACAGCCUCCGUCCUGCUGGGCCCGCCCUGACCUGGCAUCCACUGUCCACAUCCCUCCAUCUGCCCACCCCCAACCCUGGACAACAACCAGCACAGUGCAGCAUGGCCCUGCAGUGACACCAGCAGCAGAGAGGUCAGACCCAGCAUCCCCCAGCUCCUAAAGGGCCAGCAGGUCCCGGGAGCUGGGGGCAGGGCCUGGCUGUGGGGCCUCCAUGUCCUGGGGGCCAGGGAAGACCCUCCUUAGUCGGCAACCCCUGCAGACACAUCCCCUGGCCAGCACUUGGGGACCUCCCUGCCCCCGCCCCAUCCCCCUACCUUGCCUGCUGAGACACAGGGCUCCACGCGUCUCUCUCCUGGGUGGGGUGACUGUGACCUGACCUGUGAGGGGCCCUCAUCGUGUUGGGUUUUCCUGCCAGAAGCAGAAACCACAAAAUUACCUGGAACAUACACAGCCCCAAGUGACAGAUUCAAUUCAAUUCCACAAAUAUUGACCUCACGUCUAAUCCACUCGUCCUCUGGUGUCAGCUCCUUCCUGAGGGGCCCAGCCUGGCAGCCACAGAUCCCGUUUAAUUCCAGCCUGACAAUGUCACCAGCUCAUGGAACGGGAGCUGGGCUCAUCGAGGCCCUGGCAGGUGGGGCCAGAGCUGGGCUCUGAACUCUAUACCCACACCUACCACCAUGGAAAGUGCCAGGAAGCGGGGUGGGCAGGCAUGGUCAGCUGAGGGUCCAAGCCUGCCCCAGCGCACCAGGUGCCCGCCCUGGCUGCCUGACUUGGCAGCUAAUCUCUGUGGGGCCCUGGAGCUACAUGGUGACUUCAGCACAGGGACAUUUAUCAGAAAUGGAACUGAUGGAUUAAAGUGGAACCAGGUGAA